RNAcentral lists this ribosomal RNA (398 nucleotides) under uncultured bacterium. Its description in RNAcentral is "bacterial SSU rRNA". It matches the Rfam family "Bacterial small subunit ribosomal RNA", at positions 28 to 452 of the family's 1533-position model. The record is from RNAcentral.
GACGAACGCUGGCGGCAGGCCUAAUACAUGCAAGUCGAACGCACUCUUCGGAGUGAGUGGCAGACGGGUGAGUAACGCGUGGGAACCUUCCCAAUGGUACGGAAUAACUCCGGGAAACCGGUGCUAAUACCGUAUAAGCCCCUCGGGGGAAAGAUUUAUCGCCAUUGGAUGGGCCCGCGUCGGAUUAGCUUGUUGGUAAGGUAAUGGCUUACCAAGGCUACGAUCCGUAGCUGGUCUGAGAGGAUGAUCAGCCACACUGGGACUGAGACACGGCCCAGACUCCUACGGGAGGCAGCAGUGGGGAAUCUUGCGCAAUGGGCGAAAGCCUGACGCAGCAAUGCCGCGUGAGGGAAGAAGGGCCUUAGGGUCGUAAACCUCUUUUCAGCAGGGACGAAAAC